Molecule: transfer RNA, 68 nt
Filed under: Marmota monax (woodchuck)
Lineage: Eukaryota; Metazoa; Chordata; Mammalia; Rodentia; Sciuridae
Description: tRNA.Ala
Source: RNAcentral
GGGUUGUGGCUCAGCGGUAGAGCGCUCACCUUGCACGCGCAAGACCCUGGGUUCGAUCCUCAGCUCCA